GAUGAAGAACGUAGCGAAAUGCGAUAAGUAAUGUGAAUUGCAGAAUUCCGUGAAUCAUCGAAUCUUUGAACGCAUAUUGCGCCCUCUGGCAUUCCGGAGGGCAUGCCUGUCCGAGCGUCAUUUGAAACCUCAAGCUCAGCUUGGUGUUGGGUGUCUGUCCCCGCCUCACCGCGGGGACUCGCCUCAAAAUCAUUGGCGGCCGGUACGUUGGCUUCGAGCGCAGCAGAAACGCGAACUCGAGGCCCGGCGGAUCGGCGACCAGAAGUCACUUCUUCACAGUUUGACCUCGGAUCAGGUAGGGAUACCCGCUGAACUUAAGCAUAUCAAUAAGCGGAGGA
RNAcentral lists this unclassified non-coding RNA (338 nucleotides) under soil metagenome. Its description in RNAcentral is "partial contains 5.8S ribosomal RNA, internal transcribed spacer 2, and large subunit ribosomal RNA". The stretch from base 1 to 120 matches the Rfam family "5.8S ribosomal RNA", at positions 35 to 154 of the family's 154-position model. The record is from RNAcentral.